RNAcentral lists this ribosomal RNA (850 nucleotides) under uncultured Bacteroidota bacterium. RNAcentral describes it as "bacterial SSU rRNA". It matches the Rfam family "Bacterial small subunit ribosomal RNA", at positions 51 to 893 of the family's 1533-position model. The record is from RNAcentral. Lineage: Bacteria; Pseudomonadati; Bacteroidota.
ACACAUGCAAGUCGAGGGGCAGCAUGGUCUUAGCUUGCUAAGACUGAUGGCGACCGGCGCACGGGUGAGUAACACGUAUCCAACCUGCCGUCUACUCUUGGACAGCCUUCUGAAAGGAGGAUUAAUACAAGAUGGCAUCAUGAGUCCGCAUGUUCACAUGAUUAAAGGUAUUCCGGUAGACGAUGGGGAUGCGUUCCAUUAGAUAGUAGGCGGGGUAACGGCCCACCUAGUCUUCGAUGGAUAGGGGUUCUGAGAGGAAGGUCCCCCACAUUGGAACUGAGACACGGUCCAAACUCCUACGGGAGGCAGCAGUGAGGAAUAUUGGUCAAUGGGCGAGAGCCUGAACCAGCCAAGUAGCGUGAAGGAUGACUGCCCUAUGGGUUGUAAACUUCUUUUAUAAAGGAAUAAAGUCGGGUAUGCAUACCCGUUUGCAUGUACUUUAUGAAUAAGGAUCGGCUAACUCCGUGCCAGCAGCCGCGGUAAUACGGAGGAUCCGAGCGUUAUCCGGAUUUAUUGGGUUUAAAGGGAGCGUAGAUGGAUGUUUAAGUCAGUUGUGAAAGUUUGCGGCUCAACCGUAAAAUUGCAGUUGAUACUGGAUAUCUUGAGUGCAGUUGAGGCAGGCGGAAUUCGUGGUGUAGCGGUGAAAUGCUUAGAUAUCACGAAGAACUCCGAUUGCGAAGGCAGCCUGCUAAGCUGCAACUGACAUUGAGGCUCGAAAGUGUGGGUAUCAAACAGGAUUAGAUACCCUGGUAGUCCACACGGUAAACGAUGAAUACUCGCUGUUUGCGAUAUACUGCAAGCGGCCAAGCGAAAGCGUUAAGUAUUCCACCUGGGGAGUACGCCGGCAACG